UACAGAGGGUGCGAGCGUUGUCCGGAAUCACUGGGCGUAAAGGGCGCGUAGGUGGCGCGACAAGUCAGUGGUGAAAGUUCGACGCUCAACGUCGAAUCGGCCACUGAUACUGUUGGGCUUGAGCACUGUAGAGGCUAAUGGAAUUCCGGGUGUAGCGGUGGAAUGCGUAGAGAUCCGGAGGAAGACCGGUGGCGAAGGCGGUCUGCUGGGCAGUUUCUGACACUGAGGCGCGACAGCGUGGGGAGCAACAGGG
Molecule: ribosomal RNA, 253 nt
Filed under: uncultured bacterium
Lineage: Bacteria
Description: partial 16S ribosomal RNA
Rfam family: Bacterial small subunit ribosomal RNA
Source: RNAcentral